GAGUUUGAUCUUGGCUCAGAUUGAACGCUGGCGGCAUGCCUUACACAUGCAAGUCGAACGGCAGCACGGGAGCUUGCUCCUGGUCCCCGGCGAGUGGCGAACGGGUGAGUAAUGCAUCGGAACGUAUCCUGGAGUGGGGGAUAACGUAGCGAAAGUUACGCUAAUACCGCAUAUUCUGUGAGCAGGAAAGCGGGGGACCUUCGGGCCUCGCGCUCUUGGAGCGGCCGAUGUCGGAUUAGCUAGUUGGUGAGGUAAAGGCUCACCAAGGCGACGAUCCGUAGCAGGUCUGAGAGGAUGAUCUGCCACACUGGAACUGAGACACGGUCCAGACUCCUACGGGAGGCAGCAGUGGGAAUUUUGGACAAUGGGGCAACCCUGAUCCAGCCAUGCCGCGUGAGUGAAGAAGGCCUUCGG
This 414-nucleotide ribosomal RNA is filed under the name bacterium enrichment culture clone ALO1_GLFRUDD03FJVII. RNAcentral describes it as "bacterial SSU rRNA". It matches the Rfam family "Bacterial small subunit ribosomal RNA", at positions 9 to 421 of the family's 1533-position model. The record is from RNAcentral.